UUGCAGGGUACUCGAGUGGCGAACGGGUGAGUAACACGUGGGUGAUCUGCCCUGCACUUCGGGAUAAGCUUGGGAAACUGGGUCUAAUACCGGAUAGGAGCCAUCUUUAGUGUGGGGGUUGGAAAGUUUCGGCGGUUGGGAUGGACUCGCGGCUUAUCAGCUUGUUGGUGGGGUAGUGGCUUACCAAGGCUUUGACGGGUAGCCGGCCUGAGAGGGUGACCGGCCACAUUGGGACUGAGAUACGGCCCAG
Molecule: ribosomal RNA, 250 nt
Filed under: uncultured Actinomycetales bacterium
Lineage: Bacteria; Bacillati; Actinomycetota; Actinomycetes; Actinomycetales
Description: partial 16S ribosomal RNA
Rfam family: Bacterial small subunit ribosomal RNA
Source: RNAcentral